GAUGAAGAACGUAGCAAAAUGCGAUAAGUAAUGUGAAUUGCAGAAUUCAGUGAAUCAUCGAGUCUUUGAACGCACAUUGCGCCCCCUGGUAUUCCGGGGGGCAUGCCUGUCCGAGCGUCAUUGCUGCCCAUCAAGCACGGCUUGUGUGUUGGGUCCUCGUCCCCCCCGGGGGACGUGCCCGAAAGGCAGCGGCGGCACCGCGUCCGGUCCUCGAGCGUAUGGGGCUUUGUCACCCGCUCUGCAGGCCCGGCCGGCGCUGGCCGACGCGAAAGCAACCAUUUUUUCUCCAGGUUGACCUCGGAUCAGGUAGGGAUACCCGCUGAACUUAAGCAUAUCAAUAAGCGGAGGA
Molecule: unclassified non-coding RNA, 349 nt
Filed under: soil metagenome
Description: partial contains 5.8S ribosomal RNA, internal transcribed spacer 2, and large subunit ribosomal RNA
Rfam family: 5.8S ribosomal RNA (bases 1-120)
Source: RNAcentral